UUAUUUUGAGUUAGAUAAUCGAUUGUUCAAUUGAUUUAUCAAUGCUUUGGUCAGUUAUGUAUUACUUGAUGAUUUGAGAACUUCAUUUUGAUUUCAUUUUUAAUUGGCAAGCAUUAUAUGAACUUUUAGCAUAUGGAAAAUCCUUUUAAGGUGCAUGCUUAGUAUAUGAACUUUUAGCAUAUGGUGACCCUUUACAACAAUUGUGGAAAUCUGGGCUUUGCCCUCAGAUGAGAGCCAGGACGAUCCUACUGGUUCAUACCCUACGGAUGGGAAUGCUUGACUGCAGCUACGUUAGGAGGAUCUCACGGGGCGCGUGGAGAUCACUCAGGGUGUAUAGUUUUUGGUAGGAUGAUCAGAUUAAGUUGAUGUAUAGGGACUAGACGUCCUUCUUUUUGGGUUGGAG
This 403-nucleotide long non-coding RNA is filed under the name Cicer arietinum (chickpea). Its description in RNAcentral is "long non-coding RNA (CARI_LNC003739)". Lineage: Eukaryota; Viridiplantae; Streptophyta; Magnoliopsida; Fabales; Fabaceae. The record is from RNAcentral.